This 429-nucleotide ribosomal RNA is filed under the name bacterium. RNAcentral's name for it is "partial 16S ribosomal RNA". It matches the Rfam family "Bacterial small subunit ribosomal RNA", at positions 355 to 776 of the family's 1533-position model. The record is from RNAcentral.
UAGGGAAUCUUCGGCAAUGGGGGCAACCCUGACCGAGCAACGCCGCGUGAGUGAAGAAGGUUUUCGGAUCGUAAAGCUCUGUUGUAAGAGAAGAACGUGUGUGAGAGUGGAAAGUUCACACAGUGACGGUAACUUACCAGAAAGGGACGGCUAACUACGUGCCAGCAGCCGCGGUAAUACGUAGGUCCCGAGCGUUGUCCGGAUUUAUUGGGCGUAAAGCGAGCGCAGGCGGUUUAAUAAGUCUGAAGUUAAAGGCAGUGGCUUAACCAUUGUUCGCUUUGGAAACUGUUAAACUUGAGUGCAGAAGGGGAAAGUGGAAUUCCAUGUGUAGCGGUGAAAUGCGUAGAUAUAUGGAGGAACACCGGUGGCGAAAGCGGCUCUCUGGUCUGUAACUGACGCUGAGGCUCGAAAGCGUGGGGAGCAAACAGG